UAUACGACCGUACCGCAAACCGACACUGGUGCGCGAGAUGAGUAUUCUAAGGCGCUUGAGAGAACUCAGGAGAAGGAACUCGGCAAAUUGACACCGUAACUUCGGAAGAAGGUGUGCCCUAUUAGUGUGUAGUGAACAACGAAGCAUGAAUGGGUUGCAAAAAAUCGGUGGCUGCGACUGUUUAUUAAAAACAUAGCACUCUGCAAACACGAAAGUGGACGUAUAGGGUGUGACGCCUGCCCGGUGCUGGAAGAUUAAAUGAUGGGGUGCAAGCUCUUGAUUGAAGUCCCAGUAAACGGCGGCCGUAACAAUAACGGUCCUAAGGUAGCGAAAUUCCUUGUCGGGUAAGUUCCGACCUGCACGAAUGGCGUAACGAUGGCCACACUGUCUCCUCCUGAGACUCAGCGAAGUUGAAAUGUUUGUGAUGAUGCAAUCUCCCCGCGGAAAGACGGAAAGACCCCAUGAACCUUUACUGUAGCUUUGUAUUGGACUUUGAACAGAUCUGUGUAGGAUAGGUGGGAGGCUUUGAAGCAGGGUCGCUAGAUCUUGUGGAGCCAACGUUGAAAUACCACCCUGGUGUGUUUGAGGUUCUAACCUAGGUCCAUUAUCUGGAUCGGGGACAGUGCAUGGUAGGCAGUUUGACUGGGGCGGUCUCCUCCCAAAGCGUAACGGAGGAGUUCGAAGGUACGCUAGUUACGGUCGGACAUCGUGACGAUAGUGCAAUGGCAUAAGCGUGCUUAACUGCGAGACUGACAAGUCGAGCAGAUGCGAAAGCAGGACAUAGUGAUCCGGUGGUUCUGUAUGGAAGGGCCAUCGCUCAACGGAUAAAAGGUACUCUGGGGAUAACAGGCUGAUACCGCCCAAGAUUUCAUAUCGACGGCGGUGUUUGGCACCUCGAUGUCGGCUCAUCUCAUCCUGGGGCUGUAGCCGGUCCCAAGGGUAUGGCUGUUCGCCAUUUAAAGAGGUACGUGAGCUGGGUUUAAAACGUCGUGAGACAGUUUGGUCCCUAUCUUCCGUGGGCGCUGCAGAUUUGAGGAAGCCUGCUCCUAGUACGAGAGGACCGGAGUGGACACACCUCUGGUGUAUCGGUUGUCACGCCAAUGGCAUUGCCGAGUAGCUAAGUGUGGAAGAGAUAACCGCUGAAAGCAUCUAAGCGGGAAACUCGUUUCAAGAUGAGAUCUGCCGGGGCCUUGAGCCCCCUAAAGAGCCGUUCAAGACCAGGACGUUGAUAGGUCAGGUGUGGAAGCCAAAAA
This 1253-nucleotide ribosomal RNA is filed under the name metagenome. RNAcentral's name for it is "bacterial LSU rRNA". It matches the Rfam family "Bacterial large subunit ribosomal RNA", at positions 1635 to 2880 of the family's 2925-position model. The record is from RNAcentral.